GCAGAUUAAGGAGGGUAGAGUGACAUGGUUAAGAGAAUGUGGUUUUUUAGAUGGGAGAUCAGAGAAGACCUCUCUGGUAAGGAGACAUUUGAGUCAAAAUCUGAAGAAGGAGGGAGUGAGUCAUCUGAGUCUGUGAAGAAUUUUCUAAGCAAGGCGAGCAGCAAGCACGAAGGCUCUCAGGAAGGAGUGUGCUUGGUGAGUUCUAAGAACAAGCAGGCCAGUGUAGCUGGAAAGUAGUGAGCAGGAGACUGUGGGCAGGAGAGGACAUGAGAGAGGUGACAGAGUGGAUCACUGAGGACCCUGCAAGUGGUGUUGACGUGGGAUUUCACCAUAUUGGCCAGGCUGGUCUCGAACUCCUGACCUCGUGAUCCACUGGCUUCUGCCUCCCAAAGUGCUGGGAUUACAGGUGUGAGCCACCACACUGGCUUACCAAGGCAGACAAGUUCAUCUUCAAGAAAACUAAGAGAUCUCUUCCCCUGACAAAAAACAACUCCAUGUUUGAUGGGACUCAGACCUGGGCUCUUCUGUCACCUCUAGGUAGGGAGGUCUUGGAGAGCAAGGUGAGUUCCUAUGAAGAGUUUCACGUGAGGGAUAGAAAAGGAUGGAUGUGUCAGUUACUCUCAGGUAGCCCGGAAGAGCCUGGCAAUGUUAGAUUUUUAUGUUCAUUUUAAUUGUUUUGAUGUCUUAACCUAGUAAUAAAUUGUCAGUUAAUCACUUUUAUGCAAUAAUAAAAGGUGCAUAAAAUGUUACUGCUGCUUCCUGCUCAGGCCCCCUCCCCAGCAUGGAGUGUUAUUGAGAUACAUUUCAUUCAGAUAAGUUGGCAGUUUUAUCAGAGCAUAGAGGACACCCUGACAAUUAUCCUACAUGCUGCAGCAGACAAUAUGAAAAGCUUCUAGGUCCAAACUCCCUCUAGCUCCCUAGAGUAUAUUUUACAAAGGGUGCAGCUUUGAUGGAACUGGAGAGUUUGGUCACCAGGUUAUUUGAUUGUAGGAAAAGUCCAUAUUCUGCUCCAGGACUUAGAGACUAAGGUCAGUAAAUGGGGAGAUAAGUGAUUAACAAAUGUGAUAUUCUUGCCUGGUGGUAAAAAUAAAAAAAAUUUAAAAAAACCCAAAUGUGAUAAAAUGGGCAUUCUGUGUUAAAUCAAAGCUGCAUGGGUUUUAAAAUCAGGUUUAUGUAAUAAUAUUUUGGAAUUCUUUCCAAUUAUAGUGAGACCAGAGUGUUCAUGGAAAGUCACCAUCCACAGACAUUGGAAAAAUAGUCAUUCCCAAUUUCUGCUAUGUGAUCCCGGUAUGGCCUUGCUGAUUUGUUUGCUUUCUAAUUCCUUGGUUUAAGUAGAAAGGAGGAUCCUCUUUACAGUGUUACUGUGCAGAGUAGUAAUUGUCAACCUCGAUCUUGUAAAAAGCAAGAAUCUUUCUGAGGAUGUUGCAAACUCUCAAGAGGUUUGAAUCUAGCCUGGUAUGCCCCUCCCACCGAGCACAUGACAUCAGGAGAACCAGUUGUGAAAUUAAACAAUGAUAGGGUGAUGCAACUUCAAAGAAGUUGGAAAUUUUUGAUAUAAUACGGUUAUAAAGCUACAGGUUAUAAGAAUAAGUGACUUGAAUUUAUGGUGAGUCAUAUGACAAUCUCAGCACUUCACUUGGUGGCUGUUUCCAAAGGAGGGAGAAGGAAAAGACAGAGAAGAGAUGAGGGGCAGAGGGAGAGCUGCCUCAGUUGUGACAGUUCUACCAGACCAUAAAUUAAGCUAUUAUUAGUAUCAGCUGUUACUUAUUAUUUAACUCAGUAGUGCUGCACUGUAAUUCUACAACUCUUAACUUGGCAAACAUGUUGUAAUGGAGCCAGCUGUAUGAAAGAGUCUAUAUAAAAUUAACUUUACUAUUCUUGUUAUUAUAGUUUAGGAGUCACCCUACCAAGUGGGUAUGAUGAUGAAGGUGAGCUGCUAAGAAAGAGGUUGAGAGACAGCUGAUGUUUGUUUCAAGCAAAUCUUCUUUAACCCGAGGCACCAGGAGCAGAGGGCCAGUGGGUAAAAAGGUUAAGUAGGAUGGAAUCUACAAUAAAGCCAAAUGUGUGGGUUCUAUUGCUGAUCUUGUCGUUAUUUUGGAUUUUUGGAGUGGAG
This 2113-nucleotide long non-coding RNA is filed under the name Homo sapiens (human). RNAcentral describes it as "HSALNT0212285". Lineage: Eukaryota; Metazoa; Chordata; Mammalia; Primates; Hominidae. The record is from RNAcentral.